Long non-coding RNA from Humulus lupulus (European hop), 412 nucleotides. RefSeq lists it as uncharacterized. NCBI's taxonomy places the organism in Eukaryota, Viridiplantae, Streptophyta, Magnoliopsida, Rosales, Cannabaceae. The transcript has 2 exons. The record is from RefSeq and is a predicted model, not a curated record.
CUCUAAUAAAACUUGAUGUGAAGAAGAAGAAGAAGAAGAAGAGAUUAAUGGGUCUUUCGAAGCCUUCUUUGCUCUUUGUUUUGGUUCUUUUUGUUGUUCUUGCUUCAGAGAAAUCAUUGGCUGUUCAAGCUAGGUUUCUUUCCACUACUCAACAAAGAUAUGCGAAUGUUUUUGCAACUUUGGGACUUGUUUGCAAGUGUUGUUGUGAUGGCCCCAAGGGAGAAUGCACAAGUAGCUGGACCAACUCUUGCUCUAAAAUCCAAUGCCUUCCUUGGAAACAAAAUUAUCAAUGAAAAUUUUCUCUUUUUGUUUUUGUGAUGUUGUACAUGUAUAUAUAUAUAAUAUCUAUACGAUAAUAUAUAUAAGUACCAGUAUACUUACUGGGCAAUUAAAGGUUAUUAUUACAUAGAAA